Molecule: ribosomal RNA, 2177 nt
Filed under: Mycobacterium tuberculosis variant bovis
Lineage: Bacteria; Bacillati; Actinomycetota; Actinomycetes; Mycobacteriales; Mycobacteriaceae
Description: bacterial LSU rRNA
Rfam family: Bacterial large subunit ribosomal RNA
Source: RNAcentral
GCGUUGCGUGGUUCACCGCGGAGGUAGAGCUACUGGAUGGCCGAUGGGCCCUACUAGGUUACUGACGUCAGCCAAACUCCGAAUGCCGUGGUGUAAAGCGUGGCAGUGAGACGGCGGGGGAUAAGCUCCGUACGUCGAAAGGGAAACAGCCCAGAUCGCCGGCUAAGGCCCCCAAGCGUGUGCUAAGUGGGAAAGGAUGUGCAGUCGCAAAGACAACCAGGAGGUUGGCUUAGAAGCAGCCACCCUUGAAAGAGUGCGUAAUAGCUCACUGGUCAAGUGAUUGUGCGCCGAUAAUGUAGCGGGGCUCAAGCACACCGCCGAAGCCGCGGCACAUCCACCUUGUGGUGGGUGUGGGUAGGGGAGCGUCCCUCAUUCAGCGAAGCCACCGGGUGACCGGUGGUGGAGGGUGGGGGAGUGAGAAUGCAGGCAUGAGUAGCGACAAGGCAAGUGAGAACCUUGCCCGCCGAAAGACCAAGGGUUCCUGGGCCAGGCCAGUCCGCCCAGGGUGAGUCGGGACCUAAGGCGAGGCCGACAGGCGUAGUCGAUGGACAACGGGUUGAUAUUCCCGUACCCGUGUGUGGGCGCCCGUGACGAAUCAGCGGUACUAACCACCCAAAACCGGAUCGAUCACUCCCCUUCGGGGGUGUGGAGUUCUGGGGCUGCGUGGGAACUUCGCUGGUAGUAGUCAAGCGAAGGGGUGACGCAGGAAGGUAGCCGUACCAGUCAGUGGUAACACUGGGGCAAGCCGGUAGGGAGAGCGAUAGGCAAAUCCGUCGCUCACUAAUCCUGAGAGGUGACGCAUAGCCGGUUGAGGCGAAUUCGGUGAUCCUCUGCUGCCAAGAAAAGCCUCUAGCGAGCACACACACGGCCCGUACCCCAAACCGACACAGGUGGUCAGGUAGAGCAUACCAAGGCGUACGAGAUAACUAUGGUUAAGGAACUCGGCAAAAUGCCCCCGUAACUUCGGGAGAAGGGGGACCGGAAUAUCGUGAACACCCUUGCGGUGGGAGCGGGAUCCGGUCGCAGAAACCAGUGAGGAGCGACUGUUUACUAAAAACACAGGUCCGUGCGAAGUCGCAAGACGAUGUAUACGGACUGACGCCUGCCCGGUGCUGGAAGGUUAAGAGGACCCGUUAACCCGCAAGGGUGAAGCGGAGAAUUUAAGCCCCAGUAAACGGCGGUGGUAACUAUAACCAUCCUAAGGUAGCGAAAUUCCUUGUCGGGUAAGUUCCGACCUGCACGAAUGGCGUAACGACUUCUCAACUGUCUCAACCAUAGACUCGGCGAAAUUGCACUACGAGUAAAGAUGCUCGUUACGCGCGGCAGGACGAAAAGACCCCGGGACCUUCACUACAACUUGGUAUUGAUGUUCGGUACGGUUUGUGUAGGAUAGGUGGGAGACUGUGAAACCUCGACGCCAGUUGGGGCGGAGUCGUUGUUGAAAUACCACUCUGAUCGUAUUGGGCAUCUAACCUCGAACCCUGAAUCGGGUUUAGGGACAGUGCCUGGCGGGUAGUUUAACUGGGGCGGUUGCCUCCUAAAAUGUAACGGAGGCGCCCAAAGGUUCCCUCAACCUGGACGGCAAUCAGGUGGCGAGUGUAAAUGCACAAGGGAGCUUGACUGCGAGACUUACAAGUCAAGCAGGGACGAAAGUCGGGAUUAGUGAUCCGGCACCCCCGAGUGGAAGGGGUGUCGCUCAACGGAUAAAAGGUACCCCGGGGAUAACAGGCUGAUCUUCCCCAAGAGUCCAUAUCGACGGGAUGGUUUGGCACCUCGAUGUCGGCUCGUCGCAUCCUGGGGCUGGAGCAGGUCCCAAGGGUUGGGCUGUUCGCCCAUUAAAGCGGCACGCGAGCUGGGUUUAGAACGUCGUGAGACAGUUCGGUCUCUAUCCGCCGCGCGCGUCAGAAACUUGAGGAAACCUGUCCCUAGUACGAGAGGACCGGGACGGACGAACCUCUGGUGCACCAGUUGUCCCGCCAGGGGCACCGCUGGAUAGCCACGUUCGGUCAGGAUAACCGCUGAAAGCAUCUAAGCGGGAAACCUUCUCCAAGAUCAGGUUUCUCACCCACUUGGUGGGAUAAGGCCCCCCGCAGAACACGGGUUCAAUAGGUCAGACCUGGAAGCUCAGUAAUGGGUGUAGGGAACUGGUGCUAACCGGCCGAAAACUUACAACACCC